This 1138-nucleotide long non-coding RNA is filed under the name Cairina moschata (Muscovy duck). RNAcentral's name for it is "domestica (muscovy Duck (domestic type)) lncRNA (ENSCMMG00000002140.1)". Lineage: Eukaryota; Metazoa; Chordata; Aves; Anseriformes; Anatidae. The record is from RNAcentral.
AUAUUAAAAAAAAAAAAAAUAAAAAUUACAAGACAUACACAGAUAAUUCAUGAAGGUAAUUUUGAAGUGCCAUUGGCUUCUGCAUUUAUUGCAGACAAUUCCAUAGCUGAUGUUUCAUGAAUUUUUAGUGUUGAUAUAACAGUUUUCAACCUUCAAAGCAACUUCAGGAAUAAAAUAGUAUCUUAAACCACCUCCAGAAUACACAUUCGGUAAUAAAAUAAACAAAAUUUUCACCUAUAGAAGAGGGAAGUACUUUAGGUAUUCCAUACUGGAAGAACACAGUUUGUGGUGGAAGGUGUUUUGCUGCUCCUGUCAUAGGCAGAAACAUAAAAAGGCAGAAAUGAGUAGCUCCCUCAAAAUGAAGGUGGCCUGCACGACACGGGUUCGAUAAACUGCCCAACUGUCCAGUGAUUUGUGAUUCCCCCAAGAAGUGUACAGACCAAAUGGCUCCACGUACAGGAAAAGUCUUGUAAAAAGAAAAACCUGGACCUGAAGCUGCAAGGCUGUAUGGUUUUGGGAGGAAAAGUCCCUGAGGUUUUGGAGAUGCUUCAAGCUUCCAUCUUCAGUGUGGAAACUGGUUGCUUGCCUCUGCAAAGCCCAGGCAGCAGCAGAAUCUUGAUCUAGGACACAACAUAAAUGCUUGAAUGCUAUCCUGUCGUGGAAUGAUGACAAACUUCAUGCAUACACUCCCAUGAACAUGAAGAUACUACAAGCAUGUAAGAGAACACUGGGGCUCUAAGGCCAUAAUCCUGGAAACUCCUACAUAGAGGUCCUGUAUACAGGAUUACUUUGUUUCCCUGUACCCUGUGUAUGUUGUGACACAAAGCUCAGUUGGGUGGUCCUAUGAUGGUGUGUGCUGUGGUAUCUCUGACUUGGGAACCUUGGGGCCUGUAGGAACUCCUGGAGCUGAAUGAGCUCCACUGGCAUGUUCUCUGCUCCUGGGUUGGACAGCAUCUGAUUUGCCUGUCGCAUCACCUGCAAGUCCUUCAUGUCUUAGUCUCCUGUCCAUCUUGGAAGAUGCAAUGAGAACGUGCAGCCUCCAGACACUGAGGAGAACCACACCAGAGCUGGAAAUUAAAAUGUCCACAGUGAAAACCAUCCACCUAUGCAAUUAGCUUUUUUUAAGAAAACUUGACUG